Molecule: long non-coding RNA, 1105 nt
Organism: Brienomyrus brachyistius
Lineage: Eukaryota; Metazoa; Chordata; Actinopteri; Osteoglossiformes; Mormyridae
Exons: 3
Source: RefSeq, a predicted model, not a curated record
UGAUAAAAUCAAAAUAUGCCACAUUUUUGAAAAGCACAAUCACACUGGGCACCAAAAGAAACUAUUUUGCAAAUAAUGCAAAUAAAAUAAGAAUAUUUUUCCCCAGUCACAACUAGAUGGCAAAUAGUAUCUGUGCAAGUUAACCAUGACGUCACAAAUCAUGGGAACCAGCAACAUUGAGAAUCUGAAGUUUGAUUCAUCAACUGAGGAGAGAUCUGGAGACAGCUUGAAUCCUAGGAGUGACUGUGGUAUAUGGGGUCUUCAAUGGGCUCUUUCAUUACCCAUUAUAAUUAAUAUGGUACAAGUCACUAAAUGGCUGGACAAUCAUUAUAAAAUACACUUUUACCAGAUUUAAAUUUUUUUAGAAACAUUUCCAUUACAUAUGGAUUGCUCAAAUGUUAACAUCCCUAAAUGCAAAAGAGUGAGUGUAAUCAAAAUAGUCUAUCCAUUAGUUAUUUACAUUUAACUUCAAUUUUAGAUGAUCAUCUAAAUAUUUUAGAGUGGGGCUUUUAAUGAAAACGAACCCCGCAUGCAACACAUUUUCUGCAAACUAUUUUUCGUGGCUCAGCCAAAUUCCAAAAACCGCACGUGAACCAUCUGCUUAAAAUCAAUGGCGUUGUAAUCAAAAGUCACGCCAGACAUUGUCAUGUCCAGCCCACUCACAUUUAAACAAUGCACAACUUGACGAGGACUGAGCAGCGCUUGCAAAAGCAAACAAGAACUUCUCUCAAAGCCGGACAACAAUGAGCCCGCGUCCAACGGAAAGUCUAUUAAAAGGACGGGCGGCGCAGGGGAGUGCCUCCCUGGAUGCCGAGGCGCCCGCAAAGAAGCAGCCAAGAGUCUGUAUGAUAACCAGCCGGGGACCGGCUUCUGCCGAGAAGUUCCGGCAAAGAAACGACAGGCUGACAGCGCAGCUAACAAAGGGAAACGCGGUGGGAUAUCGGCCGCCGUUCCCCAGAGGAGAGGAGAGAAACUCUAUUUCCAACCCACCUCUUCAGCCUGGCGUCUUCGUCGCCUUCCCCCGCGUCCUCCUCCCCCGCCGGCCCGUUUUCGUCAUCCUCCACGGUCACGUCUCCGGUCACCGGAGCGCCGACGCUUCCCAAAG